This 377-nucleotide ribosomal RNA is filed under the name uncultured bacterium. RNAcentral's name for it is "bacterial SSU rRNA". It matches the Rfam family "Bacterial small subunit ribosomal RNA", at positions 29 to 395 of the family's 1533-position model. The record is from RNAcentral.
AACGAACGCUGGCGGCGCGCCUAAUACAUGCAAGUCGAGCGAGAAGGUGUAGCAAUACACUUGUAAAGCGGCGAACGGGUGAGGAAUGCAUGGGUAACCUACCCUCGAGUGGGGAAUAACUAGCCGAAAGGUUAGCUAAUACCGCAUACGUUUCCGGAACUUCGGUUUCGGAAAGAAAGCAAUACCGUGGGUAUUGCGCUCCUGGAUGGGCUCAUGUCCUAUCAGCUUGUUGGUGAGGUAACGGCUCACCAAGGCUUCGACGGGUAGCUGGUCUGAGAGGACGAUCAGCCACACUGGCACUGCGACACGGGCCAGACUCCUACGGGAGGCAGCAGUAAGGAAUAUUGCGCAAUGGACGAAAGUACUGACGCAGCGAC